UUCCCCAUGAUAGGGAGAAGCUUUUAACGAGAUUUUUUUCGGAGCUUCAAGAUAGAGAAAGAGAAUUUGCUAUAGCCGAUAUCCAAAUUGGCCUUGCAACGCUUGAAGAAGUUUUCUUAAAUAUUGCCAAGCAGGCAGAGCUAGAAAGUGCUGCAGCUGAGGGGAGGUUGGUUACUUUGACCUUAACAUCUGGAGCCUCAGUUCAGAUACCUAUAGGAGCUAGAUUUGUUGGGAUUCCGGGAACACAAUCUCCAGAGAAUCCUAGAGGCAUAAUGGUUGAAGUAUACUGGGAGCAAGAUGAUUCCGGUUCUCUCUGCAUUUCUGGUCACUCUGCUGAAAUGCCUCUGCCUCUUAACGUUCAACAAUUUAUUUCUGCAUCACAGCCACGUUCUAAUAUAAAUUUCCUCCGCCGGGGUAAAGAACCAGUUUAUGGAAUCAUGAUCGAUCCGAAUCAGAUUAGUCCUAGUAAUUAUUAACAAUCAUAAACUCUUAUUUAUUCUAUUAUUCUACACCUCUCUGAUUUAGCGGUAUUAGUCCAUAGCUUUUUCUUUGGCUAUUUGUAUAGGACUUGAUAUUUGAAUAGUUCAAAAUAAUAUCUCUAUUUACCAGAAGGGAAAU
This 618-nucleotide unclassified non-coding RNA is filed under the name Hevea brasiliensis (rubber tree). Lineage: Eukaryota; Viridiplantae; Streptophyta; Magnoliopsida; Malpighiales; Euphorbiaceae. The record is from RNAcentral.